AAUCAACGCUGGCGGCGUGCCUGAGACAUGCAAGUCGAACGAUUAAAGCUCUCUUCGGAGAGUGUAUAGAGUGGCGCACGGGUGAGUAACACGUAAGUAAUCUACCUUUGAGUGGGAAUAACAGGUCGGAAACGGCUGCUAAUACCGCAUAACGCAGCGGCACCGCAAGGUGACAGUUGUUAAAGGAGCAAUCCGCUUAAAGAGGAGCUUGCGGCAGAUUAGCUUGUUGGUAAGGUAACGGCUUACCAAGGCUACGAUCUGUAUCCGAUCUAAGAGGACGGUCGGACACACUGACACUGAAUAACGGGUCAGACUCCUACGGGAGGCAGCAGUCGGGAAUUUUGGGCAAUGGGCGAAAGCCUGACCCAGCAACGCCGCGUGAA
RNAcentral lists this ribosomal RNA (383 nucleotides) under uncultured bacterium. Its description in RNAcentral is "bacterial SSU rRNA". It matches the Rfam family "Bacterial small subunit ribosomal RNA", at positions 32 to 405 of the family's 1533-position model. The record is from RNAcentral.